AUAUCAGAAAGGAAACAGCCAUGCACCUAAAGCAAGCACACACAUUAACUAAUUAUUAUUCUGGUUGUGUGGGUUAGGCACAGAACACAGAAAUUAGGCCAAAAAAUCUGGGCAUGAGUGCCGCAAAGGAUAAUCUUAGAUUAUCUGCUCUUUUCUUAAUGUUGCCAAUGUUGAUUUUUCUUCCACAAGAACAUUUCCUUCUAGAACAUUGGACCUGGAGUAUCUCUUUUCCUUGUUUGUUUUUUCUCUUUCUGGGUAGAAUAUAUUAAAACUAGUAUUGAUGUCCGUGCUGUCUCUUGUUUAUUUUUGUAUGCAAGUGCAGCUGUUAUGCCUAGAUAUUCCCGAUUAUUACAGCUGUAUUGUAUUCAAUCCCUAAUCAUGCUCAAGUAUUGUUCUUGCAGUUGGAGCAGAUUUUGGAUUACUCUAAGUCUAUACCCAUCCAGAUGUCUGAGCCAUUAAUAAUGUAAUGUCCAACCUCUCUUUGUUGUUGAUGCUGCUAUUUAUUUAUCCAUCUAGCAACGUGUAAUCUGUGUGCCGAGGCUUUUUUUGGGCGUUAAAAUGCAUUAUAAUAACUUUGUCGAGAAUUUUUAGACAAUCUGUUGUUUGGAUGCCUGUCUUUUCCUCAUUCAAGUUGCAAAACGGAUAUAUUCUGUGUUGUGUUAUAAAACAUAUGAACUGAUAGUCGACCUUCAUUGAAUAAGAAAGAAAAAUUAUCUAGAUUUAGUUUUCUCUUUAUUUAUACAUGGACCAUGGAGUAAUAUACUCCCUUGUUAUAGUUCUUUUCCACACUGACUUGAACAUAAACACAACAGAAUCUCAGGACUUUCAUAGCUUUACUUUUUUUAUGUGUUCUUGUGUACUUACUUCUACUUGACUUCUGUAUUAUUCUUCAUUGCCUCCCCACAUUUUUUUCUUAAAAUAAGUGUUUCCUGUCUAAUUUAUGUCCAUCACUCAUAUGCCUGCAAUCUAAACUGUAACAAGGAGAACACCCUUGGAAUCUGUCUACCGGUUAAUGAUCCAAGUAAUCUAUAUGAUUAAGAACCCAAGUAUACUACAAGUUUGUUCUGAUCAUGCUUGCUUAUGGGGUUAAUGUGGAUGAAGUCAAACCAUACUCUGCAAGACUAAGGCAGCUAGCUUGAGUAAGAUGCCCGAAUGUUAUGAUAAUUGAGUAAACAAAACCUACUUGCGUCACAAGGAGGAUUGGCUAUCGUUGGCUGCAGUUUGGUCUUCAUUUACAUGUGAGACAUUGAAACCUUCCUCUGAAAGCAACACGAAACUUAAUUUAUCGGUUCGAUGAACGACGACAAAUCCUGUCCCAGAUAGGUUUUAGAUUGGCACGCGGUGUCCCAUCUAACGUCGAGUUCUUAUCGCCAUACCCUGAUUAAUUAAGAAAUGAGCAUCUUUCCUCCCGUUGAGUUUAGAAAAACUGAAGAUGUCCUUCUCAUUGGGGCAUCACGUUUGUCGUCGAUGUUGACAUGGUGAGACCUUUCUUGUGCAAUGGUUCCAUCAUUGACCUGAUCUUUUUGCUGAAACUUUCCGACAAUUUUAUUUUUCUGCUGUUGUUUGUCUCAGGAAGAAGAAAAAAUCAAAGCUUCCGACCUCCGAAAAUUUCCUUCAAAGAACACUCAGCAUCUUAUCAAGAAGCUGUUCUUCGAAUCUGAUCUGUUCAGAUCCAUGGAGUCCCCGAACAAAUCUCGUGCUAUCAGGAA
This 1709-nucleotide long non-coding RNA is filed under the name Brachypodium distachyon (stiff brome). RNAcentral's name for it is "long non-coding RNA (BDIS_LNC002410)". Lineage: Eukaryota; Viridiplantae; Streptophyta; Magnoliopsida; Poales; Poaceae. The record is from RNAcentral.